This is a long non-coding RNA of Pseudopipra pipra, 4531 nucleotides long. RefSeq lists it as uncharacterized. NCBI's taxonomy places the organism in Eukaryota, Metazoa, Chordata, Aves, Passeriformes, Pipridae. The record is from RefSeq and is a predicted model, not a curated record. The transcript has 10 exons.
GAGCUCAAAGCAAGGUCCCUGCCAUGGAUUCAGGCAUUGCUGAGAGUAUCCCAGGGGUAGCUGUCCCUGCUAGACAUGGAGCUCUCUAAUGGGCUGGAAUUGGGUGAUAAAAGUGGUGCUCCAAGUGCCAAAGCAGUGUGGGAUUGGGAUUAAGAAAUGAGCAGUGAUGGUCCAAUUGGCUGUUUUCUCUGCAAUGUGACUGUGAGAGCUGCAGGAGUGCCAGGUGUGUGUUCCAGUCCCCAGCAUUUGGUUUGCACAUGUCCUGGUCAGACACAGGUCCAACUUCCUCAGUUCUUGACCCAAGAGAGGGAGAAUGAAGGACUGGCAGUGUUAAGGUGAUUGGUGUGACAGGGGUUAAAUUGGGAAACCAUUGGGGAAUUCCUCAGUUUCCCUAUUUGCCAAACUCACCCAAACCUGUGCUAGGAAGAGAUUGAGUAGGAAAGUUGAGGCAGAAAUGAAAUUGAAAACUGGGGAUAUUGAAACAGUAAUUGCUGGAAAUAAAUGUGUCCAAGCAGCAGCUCUUGUUGUGCAGGGAAUAACUCCUGUCAGCAGCAAGGCCCCGACUGAAGUGGCAGCUGCAGUUGUUCCUGUGGUGUGGGCCAGUGGACUUCCAGGAGAGUGGAAGAGGGCAGAACCUGUAGGUAUUACCCCUGAUGUGGGAUCUCUACUGGUAAGGCAAACCCAGUAUCCUUUAAAAUCAGAAUGAUAGCUUGGAUUGGUUGCAGUAACAGCUAAAUUGGCUCAUCCUGGUUUGCUUGUAGGACGUGAAUGCAAGAACCUGCCAAGAAAAGCAAUGGCCAAGAUGAUUGAUGAGUGCAGGACCUGAGAGAACCACCUUGAAUGACAAUCUCAAGGAGUUUCCAGUACUGGAUAUAAAAGAUGGCCUUUGCUGCAUCUCCUUGAACAAGGAAAGCCAAGAAAUCUUUGCCUUUGAAGGAGAAAAUCUGGGAAGCGGGAAGGAAGAAGAGAAGCCACCUGACUCCUCCCUUAGCCCCAGACAGCCCAUGAACUGCCUUCCUGGGAAUGGUAGGACGGGCUGGACUCUGGAUUGCUCCCUCUGGAUGUGUGGCUCUCCCCUCAGGAACUGCAGGAACUCCUGGUGCCGCCUGGGCCGAUGGAUUGGACGCCCCAGCCCCUCCGUUCCUUCCCAGCCCCUGGGGCCGUGUCCAGUGGUGGCACUGCCAGCCCUGCAGUGGGAUGGAGCCUGGAAACUGCACAGAGCUGAGCCAAGGGAUUGAAAGGGACCAACCAAGGGAGGUGAAGAAAGAAGGUAGACGGGAACUGAGGCAGUAGACAAGCACCUCUAAGUUACACUGUAAACAGGAUGUGAAUGCAAGAACCUGCCAAGAAAAGCAAUGGCCAAGAUGAUUGAUGAGUGCAGGACCUGAGAGAACCACCUUGAAUGACAAUCUCAAGGAGUUUCCAGUACUGGAUAUAAAAGAUGGCCUUUGCUGCAUCUCCUUGAGCAAGGAAAGCCAAGAAACCUUUGCCUUUGAAGGAGAAAAUCUGGGAAGCGGGAAGGAAGAAGAGAAGCCACCUGACUCCUCCCUUAGCCCCAGACAGCCCAUGAACUGCCUUCUGGGAAUGGUAGGACGGGCUGGACUCUGGAUUACUCCCUCUGGAUGUGUGGUAAGACUGUUAUACCACCUUUUAAAAACAGCCUGUAAGCAUUUGCUGCCUUGGCUAGAUGAUGCAAGGGCAGCCUUUAAGCAGCUAAAGCAUUCCCUGAGGAGAGCUCUGGGUCUGCCAGAUGUCUCAGAACUGUUGGAAGCAUCUUUGGUGGGGAGGGCAAACAAAGGACAAGGUGUGCAGUGACCCCCUGACAAGGGACUUUGAGUUAAUGGCAUCCCUGCAAGUGAACUUUGUGGGCUGUUCCCCCUGUAGGGCAGGUGACAGUCCCAGCUGCAGUGAUGGGGUAAAAUAGUUAAAAGAGAACUCCAAAAGCUGGAAAUCCUCCUGGAGGCUCUUGGCCAAUAGAGUUUCCUGAGUUGCCCCUGAAAGAAGGACAGUGACAGCUUUUGAGUGCUAGUAGAUGCUUUUAAUAGAUAGCCUUGAGUGUGUCCUUGUUGCACCAGUAGGCCUUGUCAAAGUCCCCAUCUUCCAGGGGAUCUACAUAUUGAAGUUUCAAAUGCUCUCCAUAAUCCUUUGUUGUCUUGAGGCUCUCCCCUCAGGAACUGCAGGAACUCCUGGUGCCGCCUGGGCCGAUGGAUUGGACGCCCCAGCCCCUCCGUUCCUGCCCAGCCCCUGGGGCCGUGUCCAGUGGUGGCACUGCCAGCCCUGCAGUGGAAGUGGGAAGGGCCUUUGCAGGUCUUGUGGAUCACAUUUAGAGUAGCCAAAGUUGCAGAAAAAGGAUGUUGAGUCUCUUCUUCUUGAGUUCAGAAAGCUCCUUUUGAUUGGUGAGCAGAACAAAGUGGAUCCUUCAGAGUUCCCAUCCGUGUUUGUGUCUCAGCCUGUGUUAGGAUUCAGGGCUGUCAGUUGUUGUCACUGAGGAGUCAAACUCUGCUUUAAAUCAUGAGACACUGGCCUAAUGGCCAAGUGUCAAGAAAAAAGUGGGAAUGCUAUCUGAGUGUUGAGAUGUAACAAGGGCUAAUCCUUUUUGCAGUGGGAUGGAGCCUGGAAACUGCACAGAGCUGAGCCAAGGGAUUGAAAGGGACCAACCAAGGGAGGUGAAGAAAGAAGGAAGAAGGGAAGUGAGGCAGCAGCCAAGCAGCACCAAGUUCCUGUGUAAGCAGGGAAUAACUCCUGUCAGCAGCAAGGUCGUGACUGAAGUGGCAGCUGCAGUUGUUCCUGUGGUGUGGGCCAGUGGACUUCCAGGAGAGUGGAAGAGGGCAGAACCUGUAGGUAUUACCCCUGAUGUGGGAUCUCUCCUGGAUGUGAAUGCAAGAACCUGCCAAGAAAAGCAAUGGCCAAGAUGAUUGAUGAGUGCAGGACCUGAGAGAACCACCUUGAAUGACAAUCUCAAGGAGUUUCCAGUACUGGAUAUAAAAGAUGGCCUUUGCUGCAUCUCCUUGAGCAAGGAAAGCCAAGAAACCUUUGCUUUUGAAGGAGAAAAUCUGGGAAGCGGGAAGGAAGAAGAGAAGCCCCCUGACUCCUCCCUGAGCCCCAGACAGCCCAUGAACUGCCUUCCUGGGAAUGGUAGGACGGGCUGGACUCUGGAUUGCUCCCUCUGGAUGUGUGGCUCUCCCCUCAGGAACUGCAGGAACUCCUGGUGCCGCCUGGGCCGAUGGAUUGGACGCCCCAGCCCCUCCGUUCCUGCCCAGCCCCUGGGGCCGUGUCCAGUGGUGGCACUGCCAGCCCUGCAGGGGAAGUGGGAAGGGCCUUUCCAGUGGGAUGGAGCCUGGAAACUGCACAGAGCUGAGCCAAGGGAUUGAAAGGGACCAACCAAGGGAGGUGAAGAAAGAAGGUAGACGGGAACUGAGGCAGUAGACAAGCACCUCUAAGUUACACUGUAAACAGGAUGUGAAUGCAAGAACCUGCCAAGAAAAGCAAUGGCCAAGAUGAUUGAUGAGUGCAGGACCUGAGAGAACCACCUUGAAUGACAAUCUCAAGGAGUUUCCAGUAUUGGACAUAAAAGAUGGCCUUUGCUGCAUCUCCUUGAGCAAGGAAAGCCAAGAAACCUUUGCUUUUGAAGGAGAAAAUCUGGGAAGCGGGAAGGAAGAAGAGAAGCCCCCUGACUCCUCCCUUAGCCCCAGACAGCCCAUGAACUGCCUUCCUGGGAAUGGUAGGACAGGCUGGACUCUGGAUUGCUCCCUCUGGAUGUGUGGUAAGACUGUUAGGGCAACUUUUCCAACAGCCUGUAAGCAUUUGCUGCCUUGGCUAGAUGGUGCAAGGGCAGCCUUUAAGCAGCUAAAGCAUUCCCUGAGGAGGGCUCUGGGUCUGCCAGAUGUGUCAGAACUGUUGGAAGCAUCUUUGGUGGGGAGGGCAAACAAAGGCCAAGGUGUGCAGUGACCCCCCUGACAAGGGACUUUGAGUUAAUGGCAUCCCUGCAAGUGAACUUUGUGGGCUGUUCCCCCUGUAGGGCAGGUGACAGUCCCAGCUACAGUGAUGGGAAAAAUGGUAAAAGAGAACCUGAAAAGCUGGAAAUCCUCCUGGAGGCUCUUGGCCAACAGAGUUUCCUGAGUUGCCCCUGAAAGAAGGACAGUGACAGCUUUUGAGUGCUAGUAGAUGCUUUUAAUAGACAGCCUUGAGCGUGUCCUUGUUGCACCAGUAGGCCUUGUCAAAGUCCCCAUCUUCCAGGAGAUAUACAUAUUAAAGUUUCAAAUGCUCUCCAUAAUCCUUUGUUGUCUUGAGGCUCUCCCCUCAGGAACUGCAGGAACUCCUGGUGCCGCCUGGGCCGAUGGAUUGGACGCCCCAGCCCCUCCGUUCCUGCCCAGCCACUGGGGCCGUGUCCAGUGGUGGCACUGCCAGCCCUGCAGUGGGAUGGAGCCUGGAAACUGCACAGAGCUGAGCCAAGGGAUUGAAAGGGACCAACCAAGGGAGGUGAAGAAAGAAGGUAGACGGGAACUGAGGCAGUAGACAAGCACCUCUAAGU